RNAcentral lists this long non-coding RNA (233 nucleotides) under Homo sapiens (human). RNAcentral describes it as "long non-coding RNA NONHSAT214623". The record is from RNAcentral. Lineage: Eukaryota; Metazoa; Chordata; Mammalia; Primates; Hominidae.
AGGCUGAUGAAGUUGCAGGCAUUCAGUUUUCACUGGGAAUGUCCUCCAGACGGAUGUGUAAGAAGGCCAGGGUCAGGCUUCAGGAGCACCUAGGCAGGUUCACACUUGACACCUGUCACUCGUCACUCACCCGCCAGCCCACUGCCUGGUCAACGUAAGGCUGUCUCCUUGCGGAGACUGGCUCAGCACUGAAGUAAUGGAGCUGUCUUUCUGUCUGUCUGGCUUGUGGUUUA